GACGAACGCUGGCGGCGUGCUUAACACAUGCAAGUCGAACGGAAAGGCCCUGCUUUCGUGGUGCGCUCGUGGCGAACGGGUGAGUAACACGUGUGUGUUCUGCCCCUUACUCUGGGGUAAGCCUGGGAAACUGGGUGUAUUACUGGAGAGGACCGUUCCUGAUGCGGGGUGGUGGUAAGAUUGGUUUCGGUGAGGGGUGAGGUCGCGGCGUAUCAGCGCGUUGGUGGGGGGUUGGCCUACUAAGGCGUCGACGGGUAGCCGGCGUGAGAGGGGGGACGGCGACAUUGGGACUGCGAUGCGGCGCAGACGACUACGGGAGGCAGCAGUGGGGAAUAAUGCAGAACAGGGGCAAGACGGAUGCAGCGACGCCGCGUGGGGGAUGACGGCGGUCGGGUUGUAAACUCCUUCCAGCCAUGACGAAGACCUUGUGGUGACGGUAGUGGUAGAAGAAGCACCGGCUAACUACGUG
This 469-nucleotide ribosomal RNA is filed under the name uncultured bacterium. RNAcentral's name for it is "partial 16S ribosomal RNA". It matches the Rfam family "Bacterial small subunit ribosomal RNA", at positions 28 to 507 of the family's 1533-position model. The record is from RNAcentral.